RNAcentral lists this long non-coding RNA (5226 nucleotides) under Brassica napus (rape). Its description in RNAcentral is "long non-coding RNA (BNAP_LNC023157)". Lineage: Eukaryota; Viridiplantae; Streptophyta; Magnoliopsida; Brassicales; Brassicaceae. The record is from RNAcentral.
UGUGCUUUCUCACAUGCUUGCACUAGUAAAAAGCAUCCUCUCCUUUCCAGCAUCAUACAGGCUGUCAAAGUGCUCCCUUAUCCUUCCUUAUCCUCUUAGGUCGAAUUUCCUCUCUUCUCCUCAUUAAGUUACCUCCUCAUCCCAUCAGAUAACUUCCCCAAGUAGUUACUGUGGUUAAAAGAAAGUUACCACAGUAAAACUCUAAAGUUACUGUCUCAGCCUCUUUGGUCUUCAUCUCAACAUCAAGCACAUGUUGAUGUGAGAUUUUCAGAGAUCUCAGGUUGUGUGUGUGUAUAAGCUCCAAUGGAGGAAGCUGAGAAGAUUAGAGUUUGUUUUAGGUGAUUUUAGAGAGAGAGUUUAAAUGGGAUAAAACCUUGAUGAGGGAAAAAGAGUGGAGACUCCAUGGUUGAGGGGCUCAGCUCCUAGGAGUAAGAUCAAUGAGUCCAAGUCUUGAUAGUAUGGACUCCAUUGUCUUUAAUCUCGCUGCUUUAGUAAACACAUCUGCAAGCUGAUCUUCACUUCUUGUAUAACAUGGCAAUAUCACUCCAAGUAUAAUCAUCUGCCUCACCUUGUGGCAAUCAACUUCUAUAUGCUUCGUCCUCUCAUGAAAGACUGAGUUAGAAGCAAUGUGGAUAGCUGCUUGAUUGUCACAAUGCAUUGUCAUAGGAGUACUCUGCUCAAUCUCCAAAUGCUUCAAGAUCCCCUUGAUCCACACCAACUCGUUUGUCAGCUUCAACAUGGCUCUAUACUCAGCUUCAGCACUUGAACAGGAGAUAACCUUCUGCUUCUUACUCUUCCAAGUGACCAAGUUCCCUCCAAUGAAUGUACAAUACCCAGUAGUUGAUCUCCUGUCCACUCUAUCUCCUGCCCAAUCAGCAUCACAAUAUCCAACCACUUCUGUACUGCCAUUACAACCCAUCCAAACUCCUUGACCAGACGUGCCACUCAAAUACCUCAGUAUCCUAUCAACCAUCUUCCAAUGAUGGACCUUUGGCGCCUGCAUAUGUUGACUCACUUGAUUCACCGCAAAGCAUAUAUCUGGCCUAGUGAUGGUCAAGUAGAUCAGCUUGCCAACCAUCUUCCUGUAUAGCUUAGGAUCCUCAAACAGCUGCUUCUCUUCAACCUCCCCCUCACGCAGAACCUUAUAUCCCUCCUCGAGAGGUGUCUUGGCUAUCUUUCCUCCAAGCACAUCAGUCUCCUUCAACAUAUCCAUAGUAUACUUCCUUUGAGACAUAAACAAACCCUCCUUUGAUCUGCAUAUCUCAAUCCCAGAAAAUACUUCAUCUCUCCCAAAUCCUUGAUGUCAAACACAGAUUUGAGAAACUCCUUAGUGGCCUGAAUCCCUGCCUUAUCACUUCCUGUGAUAAUCAAAUCAUCCACAUACACUAGAAUCACAAUGAUCCCUGAAGGUCCUGUCAAGGUGAAGAGAGUGUGAUCUAGUUCAGACUUCCUAAAGCCUCUCCCAUUGAGUGUUGUACUCAGCUUCCUGUACCAAGCUCUAGGUGACUGCUUCAACCCAUAUAUUGCUUUUUUCAAUCUCAAAACAUUCCCUGGCUUUACUAGAUGCUCAAGACCAGGAGGUGGAUGCAUGUAUACUUCAUCUUCAAGUUCACCUUGCAAGAACGCAUUCUUAACAUCCAUUUGCCACAAAUCCCACUCCAAGUUUGUUGCAAUGGAUAACACAAUUCGAAUUGUGUGAAGCUUGGCCACUGGUGCAAAAGUAUCAAUGUAAUCUUCCCCAUAAGUCUGUGUAAAUCCUCUUGCAACUAGCCUAGUCUUGCGCCUAUCUAUCUCCCCAUUUGCAAGAUACUUGAUGGUGAAGAUCCAUCUGCUUGAAACUGCCUUCUUCCCUUUAGGUAACUCACUCUCAUACCAAGUAUCAUUCCUGAUCAUUGCAUCCCUUUCAUCUCCUACUGAAUCUCUCCAAACCUUGUGCUUCAUAGCUUCUUCAUAAGAUCUUGGUAUCUCAUUCUCAUCCAAGUUACACAUAAACACCAUGUGCUCUUCUGGAUAUUCUGCAAAGGAACAUACGGCUUGAGAAGGAUGCUCCACAGCCUGGGCAUUGUAGUACACUCUCGUGUUUACCCAGUUGGAAGCAUCCCUCUUUAUCCUUGUGCUCCUUCGCAAAACCUGAACCUGAUCCUCAGCUUGAACCUCUGCUUGAACCUCUGUUUCUGUCUCACUCACCUCCUCUGGAUCAUGAACCUCUCUCUGCUCAUUCACACCGACCUGAGGAACAUUUUCUACUUCUUGUGUCACCUCUUGAUCAUGAUGACCUGAAUCCUCUUGGUGCUGCUCUUGCACUCUUGAUUCAGACUCCAGUCCCCCCUCAUGAUCAAGGGGAGUUGUUCUUUCAACUUCUCUAACCUUAUCUUGGGACAUGUUUACCCCAAGCCUUUCCAAGAUGUUCCUCAGAUUCUCUGCCAUGUUUCUUGGUUCUUGAGACAGAUCUUCCAAGUCUUCCCAAUUCUUUUCUUCAUAAUACCCCUUUGUCUCUAUGAACUUAACAUCUCUAGACACCAGCACUCUCCUGGUUGCUGGAUCAUAGCACUUGUACCCCUUCUGAGUUACUGAGUAUCCAAUGAGCAUUGCUUUAGUGCUCUUUGCCUCCAACUUGUUUCUCUGUUCUCCUGGAACCCAGACAUAACAUAGACAUCCAAAGACACGUAGAUGAUCUAUGUAUGGCUUGCUCUUGUUCAGCACCUCAAAAGGAGACAGAUUCUUCAAUACCUUAGUUGGAAUCCGAUUGAUAAGAUAGCAUGCAGUCUGAACAGCAUCACCCCAAACCCUCUUUGGAACAUUUGCAUGAUACAUCAUGGAUCUAGCCACCUCCAUCAGAUGCCUAUUCUUCCUCUCAGCUACCCCAUUCUGCUGUGGUGUGUAAGGACAACUGGUUUGAUGCAUUAUCCCAUGUUUAGCUAAGUGACUCUUGAAGUCAUGACUGGUGUAUUCUCCUCCAUUAUCAGACCGUAGUACCUUCACAGUAGCAUUGUAAUGGUUAGUUACAUAUGCUUGGAAGUUGACAAAAGCCUCAAACACUCUAUCCUUAGAUGGCAGCAAUGUGAUCCAUGUAUACUUAGACUUCUCAUCUAUGAAUGUCACAAAAUACUUCUGGUUUUCUCUAGACAUACAAGGGGCUGUCCACACAUCAGAAUGAACAAGAUCAAAGCAAUUUGCAUAUAUGGUCUCUGAUGUAGGAAAAACAGUCCUACAAUGCUUCCCUAAGAUGCAAGCUUCACAUUCCAAGUGAUUGAAUGACAUAUUAGGCAUAAUCAAUUCAAUUGCACGAGCAUGAGGAUGUCCUAAUCUAGCAUGCCAAGUAGUACUCUCACACCUAUCAGCAUUACUACUCAAGCAUACAGAAUCAAUAGGGUUAGAGGUCUUAGCUGUUUGGAGAUGAUAUAACUGAUUCUUGCUGUCUCCUCUACCAAUAACUCUCCCAGUCUUCAAAUCUUGAAACUCAACUUCAUUUGGCCUGAAUACUACUUGACAAUCAAGAUCAACUGUGGCCUUCUUCACUGAUAUCAGAUUUGAAGUGAACUGAGGCAAAUAGAACGCAGGUGAGCUCUUCUCAAACAGCUUGAGGUUUCCCACGCCUUCUAUUGGGAUCCUAGCACCAUUAGCUAUCAUAACACUCCCUGUUGCAGCCUUGACUCCACUUAUCAGACUUUUAUCACUGAUCAUAUGAUGUGUUGCUCCAGAAUCAAUGAUGAUGGGUUUGGACGUGGAUGCUAAGGCAGGAGCACCUUGUCUCCGGGUCGUAGCCAAAGCAUACACAUACUUGACAAACUCAUCCCAUUCUUUCUUUGUGAUAGGAUCAUCUGCUCCUUUGAUCUCUUGCCCCUUCAUAACCAUACUGUCCUCCACUGAGUUACUCAUAUAGGCAGAGUAAGAACACUCUCCUCUUACCACUUGUUGAGCCACCUCCUUGAUCAUCUUCAAGCUCAUCCUAUCAGUUAGAUACCCAGACUCCCUGUCCUUCUUCCACGCCUUUCCCAUCUUAAGCCACACUCUAGAAAGCUUUCUCAGCCUUCCCUUCUUACAGCUUGUACCACCUUUCCACUGGUUUGAACUCUUGUCCUCUUCCCACACAUCACACGCAUGAAGAACCAGAAACCAUAUCUCCUUCACAAGAAAGCUAAAGAACACAUCUUGUUUCCUCCUUUCUUUAAUAACUCUCAGAUCAGAUGUGCUUGGUCUCAGCACAUCCAGCUCCAUCCAUCCUUCUUUCAGCCUUCCCACAAGCUGAUACAACUCAUCCUUUCCUUGUCUCAAGCCGCGGAUCACUCUCUUGUCUCCACUGACCUUCACAAGUUUGGACCUUUCUACAUAAGCUUCUUCAAUCCCACUCUCCAAAGUGGUUUCUUGAUCAGCUUCAUCUUCACCUUUCAGAUUCCUUGUCUGACCUUCUUCAGUAGCCAUUUCCACUAAAGGCUUCCCCUUUACAUGACCACACCAUAACCCACAGCUUUCCAAAGCUCUCUUUGCCCAUCUUGACCAAUCGCCAUCUCUCUCUUCUUCAAGCUCCAUGAUUGUACUAGAUCUGUGCUUCUUCUCCAUGUCUAGAUUGUUUGUUUCCAUCAGAAUGAUCCAGACGAGACUAGUGACAGAAGAACACAACCCAGAAUCACCAAGAACACUCAAGAACACCAAGAACACUCAAGAACACCAAGAACACUCAAGAACACCAAGAAAGAACCUAAAUUUGCGAAAAACAAAUCACACACUCAUCCCCUUUUGAGCAACCUGGCUCUGAUACCAUAAACACUUUUGUGUUUUAGAGUGUGUUUAAUAAUAAUCAGAGAAGAUUAGAGUAAAGUUUAGAGAGAAUAGAGAGAUUCUAGAGAGAGAUAGACUCAAAACUCCAUUAAUUAAUAACUGAUGAGGUUUACAAGUAUUAAUAGAGAGAGCAACAAGGGUUUUCGAAAUGUAUAAGCAUGUGGAGUCAAUGGACAGGCUGGAACUCCUUUUGAAUCACUUGGCUGUGCUUUCUCACAUGCUUGCACUAGUAAAAAGCAUCCUCUCCUUUCCAGCAUCAUACAGGCUGUCAAAGUGCUCCCUUAUCCUUCCUUAUCCUCUUAGGUCGAAUUUCCUCUCUUCUCCUCAUUAAGUUACCUCCUCAUCCCAUCAGAUAACUUCCCCAAGUAGUUACUGUGGUUAAAAGAAAGUUACCACAGUAAAACUCUAAAGUUACUGUCUCAGCCUCUUUGGUCUUCAUCUCAACAN